GAAAUGGCGCGGCAGAGGCCGACGCGUAUCCCCACGCCGAAUGUUUGACCUAGGUGUGCCCCAGGGUUGGUAAUGGGGCCAUGCAUAGCUGAGAUUGACCGUAUUGUCAUAAGAGAAGUUCAUCAUCAAUUAGAAGUGAAUUGGUGUAGAAAUGAAGAAAUUAUAGUAAAAGGCAAUUUUGGGCGGGUGUGGUCUAUGUGGGCGGGGCCCCAGGGUUGGUAAUGGGGCCAUGCAUAGUUGAGAUUGACCGUAUUGUCAUAAGAGAGGUUCAGUAUCAAUUUGAAGUGAAUCGGUGUAGAAAUGAAGAAAUUAUAGUAAAAGGCAAUUUUGGGUGGGUGUGGUCUAUGUGGGCGGGGCGCCCCAGGGUUGGUAAUGGGGCCAUGCAUAGUUGAGAUUUACUGUAUUGUCAUAAGAGAAGUUCAAUAUCAAUUUGAAGUGAAUCGGUGUAGAAAUGAAGAAAUUAUAGUAAAGGCAAUUUUGGGUGGGUGUGGUCUAUGUGGGCGGGGCCCCAGGGUUGGUUAUGGGGCCAUGCAUAGUAGA
Molecule: long non-coding RNA, 540 nt
Organism: Dreissena polymorpha
Lineage: Eukaryota; Metazoa; Mollusca; Bivalvia; Myida; Dreissenidae
Exons: 2
Source: RefSeq, a predicted model, not a curated record